CUAUGAUCCAAUCGUGAUACAUUUUUCAGUCUUUCCACAUAGGAAAUCAAUCCUUUAAAAAGUGUUUGCAGCCAGGUGUGCGCCCGUGCAUCUGUAAUCUCAGCAAGGAAGAACUGAAGCAGAGGAAUCCGUAGUUCAAGGCUGUUCUGGACUACAAGAUGAGGUCGAUGGAACGAGAUUUAAAAACACAUCUUUACCAUCUACCGUUUACCAUUAGUUUUUCAAACUUGUUGCAUCGCUUCCCUACUGAAUGCUGCAGAGCCAGAGGAAAGGGCUGUGUGGCCCCCAGAAGGGACAGCCCUGCCCAGUGCAGCCUCUCCACUCUGGUUCCUCUCAUGAUAUCAUAUGCUUCCCUCGUCACGUGACUUCAGUAUAUUCAGCAGUGGCUACAGGGUGAGGAGUUCACGCCGGAGCGCAGGUUCAAGCUCAGGUACUUAACACAGGAAGAAGCUUUGACCCAGGGUGAGCCAUCACGGAGACAAGGGGACACGCACGGUACGAGCCUAGCACAUGCCAGACACUGUUUUAAGUGCCGUAUUAUCUCAUUUGAUCCUCUCAGCACCUCAGCGACAAUGCUUCCGCUGUGUCCUUCAUUUUACAGAAGAGGAUCUUGACAGAGACGUUAAGUGAUUAUCACACAGAUGGUGUGAAGGAGAUGAGGAAAAGAAGGCCCAGGGAAGCCUAACAGCUUUUUAAAAAACAAAAAACUAUCAAUUGAGAAAAGGCAUUUAUUUAUGUAUGUACGCAUGUGUGUAUGCAUGUAUGUAUGUGAGCCUGAGUGAGGUUUUGUGCACCAUAUGUAUUCAAGAGGCUGCAGAGGCAAGGAGGAAGCAUGAGAUCCCUUGAAACUGGACUAACAGACAGUUGUGAGUCACCAUAUGGACACUGGAAACUAAAAUAAGUCCUUUGCCAAAGAGGUGCAUACUUUUAAUCCCUGAGGCACCUUUUCAGCCCCCCCACCCCCCCCGACAGCUAUCUUUAAGUUACCAAAUUGGAAAUAAAAAGUUGUUCUAUGGAUAAUCAAAGCCUAAUGUUUGGACCAAGUGAAGGCUGGCUGUAGUGAGCAAAUUUCUGGUUCCUACGGAGUCACUUUCUAAGAAUGAGACAUGUCUUAGAAAGAAGUAAGUGACCUUGAGAGGUCGUGAGGCUCCAGUGGAUGAGUACUGGCGGAGGGGUGUGCAAGGAGAGUCGGCCAUUUGAUCACUUAGAUUGGUCACCCUCAAGGCCAUUUGAUCACUUAGAUUGGUCACCCUCAGGGACUCUGAGUUAAAUCACCCUCUGACUGCAUCAGAUGGCAUUCUGAAGUGGUAGUGGUGAAUGAGUCCCAGGUUAUUAGCAUUACAAAAACAACCACAUCCAGACUGAAGGGUCAAUUCACUCGUAAGAAGUGACUCAUAAUUCACUCCUAAGUUUAAUGACUUUAAACUCCAUGUUUUAUAUUUUACGAAGCACUGGAAGAGAGGAAUUUGAAGGCUUCAAACUCAAAGAUUACCCAUCUAAGGAAAUGGAAAUACCAAUGUCUCGAGUCAAUCAUUAUAAAAGCAACAGCUGCGUUCAGGCAGAGGUAAGGCAGAGCAGCGCUUGAGGGUUCCAGAUCUAGAGCACACGGGCUCAAAUGUCACUCCCGCAUGUGUGACCUUGGCAAGUGCCAUGGCCUCCUCAGGCCCGUUUCCUCGCCUGCAAACAGAUGUGUUUAAAAGGAAUCUAUCGCAGUUUUAACCCCGUGACGAUGUGGCCAUGAGAGCACAGGACAAAGCCAGAACAUGGCAGGUAAUGGAUAUUUAUUGUCAUUAUUCCAGAGAAUGUCUAUGAAGUUUAAGACACUCGAAUUCCAUAAAAAGAAAAUACAUUGUAAUUUUACUAAUUGUCACACAUUGCUACAUUGUUGCGAAAAGGAGAAAAGUGGAUACACUGUCAGCGUGUAACACAAAUGGGAAUCAAGAAAGAACUAGAACAAGAUGGACUUGAACUCCGACUUUUGGAAAGUCUUUUAGGGUUCAUCUGUUUGACUAUAACCAACAAGUAUCUUACUGAGCAUUGCAAUUGUGUUUGGCUAGAGAAAGAGAGCUGUGAGCAGCGUGUUAUAAGGUCCGUGACCGUCAGCAGUUUCCAGUCUAGCUGCGCGUGGAUAGAAAGGCGCUCUUACAAAUCCUAGGA
Molecule: non-coding RNA, 2157 nt
Organism: Myodes glareolus (Bank vole)
Lineage: Eukaryota; Metazoa; Chordata; Mammalia; Rodentia; Cricetidae
Source: RefSeq, a predicted model, not a curated record